Molecule: small nucleolar RNA, 95 nt
Organism: Tachysurus fulvidraco (yellow catfish)
Lineage: Eukaryota; Metazoa; Chordata; Actinopteri; Siluriformes; Bagridae
Product: small nucleolar RNA U13
Exons: 1
Source: RefSeq, a predicted model, not a curated record
AUCCUUCUGGUUCAGACUAAUGAUGAUUGGUUCGUUCACUUUAUUGUGAAAUGCGCGGCCUUUUUGUUACGACUAGCGCACAGAACCGUCUGAAU